This 3201-nucleotide ribosomal RNA is filed under the name Triticum aestivum (bread wheat). RNAcentral's name for it is "partial small subunit ribosomal RNA". The record is from RNAcentral. Lineage: Eukaryota; Viridiplantae; Streptophyta; Magnoliopsida; Poales; Poaceae.
AUGCACCAAGAGGUGGUCACCAAGAUCUCUCUGCCGGGGCUGCGGCUGCAGGGGGAGCUCGACGCCCUCAACUUCACGGCGUUGGCGACCUUGACGAGCAUCCAGCUCUCGCGCAACAGGCUCACCGGGAGGAUCCCGUCGAGCAUCGGGUCACUCAGAGAGCUCCGGUUCCUGCUUCUUCAACGCAAUCAGAUAAGGGGCCCUUUACCACCUGCUCUUGCAUCCUUGAGAAACCUACGCUGCUUAAUGCUCCAGGAGAAUGAACUCUCCGGUGAAAUACCAAGCCAAAUAGGACAACUAGCGGGACUUGUGAAGCUGGACUUGUCUGCCAAUCACUUGUCUGGUCCCAUCCCGACUGAACUAGGCUACCUAAAGAAGCUGCUCAGGGUACAUAUUGCCAACAACAACCUCACAGGCCCCAUUCCAAGUAAUUUAGGGAAUCUCACUAAACUCACUGUCUUGUACCUUUAUGGUAACCAAUUAUCUGGAUAUCCUCCUCGAGAGCUAGGGUACCUUGUGAAUCUAAAGGAGUUGGUUCUCUCCCGCAACAAAUUGAUGGGUUUCAUCCCCGGUACCUUGGGAGGCAUGAUCAACCUCACACUCUUGUCCCUAGCGGAUAACCAACUUUCCGGAUGCAUUCCUCCAGAGCUAGGUUACUUGUUGAAUCUAAAAGAGUUGUACCUUGAAAACAACAAACUUGUUGAUUCCAUCCCUAGUACCUUCUUAAAUUUAACAAACCUCACUAGCUUGUACCUAUCGGGUAACCAACUUUCUGGGUGUAUACCUCGAGAACUAGGUUACAUGGUGAAUCUUAAAAAGUUGGCUCUUAGCUCCAACAAUUUCAACGGCUCCAUACCUAAUACCUUUGGGAGUUUGGUUAACCUCACUGAAUUGUAUCUAUGGGGCAAUACACUUUCCGGGUGUAUUCCUCGUGAACUAGGUUACCUAGUGAAUCUUGAAGGGUUGGAUCUUAGUGUAAACAAACUAAUGUGUACUAUUCCCAAUAACUUUGGCAGUUUCAGUAACCUAACUAUCCUGGUCCUUCGUGAUAACCAACUCACGGGUUAUAUCCCCAAUAUCUUUGGAAAUUUGACAAAGCUCACUACCUUACACCUCGAUGAUAAUCAGUUCUCUGGACAUGUUCCUCUAGAAAUUGGCACCUUAUGGGAUCUUGAAGUUCUGGAACUCGACAAUAAUAAUCUCUCUGGUCCCCUACCACCUGGGUUGUGCUCUGGAGGCAAGCUCAGGCAUUUAACUGCAUCUAAUAACAGUCUGGAUGGACCAGUGCCAUCAAGUUUGCUACACUGUAGAAGCCUAUUUAGAGUUCGUCUUGAAAGGAAUCAAAUAGAAGGAGAUAUUUCUGAGUUGGGAGGUCAUCCAAGUCUUAACUAUAUGGAUAUGAGCUCGAAUAAACUCUUUGGAAAAUUAUGUUCUCUUUGGGGGGAAAGUCAAAAUAUUAACAUGCUACGCCUCUCAAACAACAACCUGACGGGGGAAAUACCCAUAAAUAUGGGGCGGCUAACUCAGCUAGGGAUACUUGAUCUCUCAUCAAACAAGCUUGAAGGAUAUAUUCCAAUUGAACUGAGCAAUCUAAAAAACUUGUUCCAGUUGAACCUCGCAGACAAUUUGCUCCAUGGAAGCAUACCACAAGAAAUCGGAGCACUAUCUAGUCUACAGUUAUUUGAUUUGUCAUCAAAUAACCUAAGUGGUUUGGUACAUGGGUCAAUUGGGAAUUGUUUAGAGCUUCGCUCAUUGAACCUGAGCGGAAAUAACUUUACAGGAAACAUCCCUACCGCAUUAGGGGUGUUGCACAACUUACAAUACAUGUUGGAUUUGAGUGAUAAUUCAUUUACUGGGGCAAUACCAAGCCAACUUAGUGGCCUGAUCAUGCUAGAUACUUUGAAUCUUUCACACAAUGAACUUAAUGGAUCCAUCCCUCAAUCAUUUAAGAGUAUGGAAAGCUUGAUAUCCAUUGAUGUAUCUUACAAUGAAUUGGAAGGAGUAGUCCCAGAGAGUAAGCUUUUUCAAGGAGCCCCGUUGAAGUGGUUCAUGCAUAAUAAGAUGCUAUGUGGUGUAGUGACCGGACUCCCCCAUUGUAGUAGUACAACUGUGAACCAAGGGAAAAGAAAAGGAUACAAAACACUUGUACUAGCAGUGGUCCCUGUGCUGAUGUCUCUUGUUCUUGUUGUAUUUGUAUUGAUGUUUCAACAUGAAAGGAACAAAUCCAAGGCAAUUGACACGGACAAAGUAACACAAAAAAAUGUGUUCUCUAUUUGGAGUUUUGAUGGGGCAAACGUGUUCAAACAAAUUGUUGAAGCAACCAAUGAUUUUAGUGAGAUUCAUUGCAUAGGAACUGGGGGAUAUGGAUCUGUCUACAAGGCUAGGCUUCCAACAUCAGAAAUAUUUGCGGUGAAGAAGAUGUGCGUUAUUGAAGAUGAGAGUUGCGCGAAGGGGUCACUCUUCCAUCGCGAAAUUGAGGCAUUGGUGCAGAUUCGGCAUCGGAACAUCGUAAAGCUAUUUGGGUAUUGUUCCUGUAGCCAAGGAAAGUUCCUUAUAUAUGAAUAUAUGGAGAGAGGGGACUUGGCAGAAGCACUGGGGAUCAAUGGAAGGGCAGUUGAAUUGGACUGGAGAAGGCGGAUACAUAUUGUGCUAGAUGUGGUUCACGCUUUGGCCUACAUGCAUCAUGAUUGUUGGUCACCAAUAGUCCACAGAGAUAUAACAAGUAAAAACAUUUUGCUUGAUCAGGAAUUUAGAGCUUGCAUCUCUGAUUUCGGUACGGCUAAAAUUCUAAAUAUUGAUGGCAAUAAUAUCACAAGGCUUGCAGGGACAAAGGGUUAUCUUGCCCCAGAGCUUGCAUAUACAGAAAAUGUGACAGAGAAAUGUGACGUAUACAGCUUUGGGGUGCUUGUCAUGGAGCUCUUUAUGGGAUCUCAUCCAGGCGAAUUGCUCUCAUCCCUCUCUGAGGCCAACAAGAAUAAUACUGCGAGCCUGCAACAUCUGCUGGACUCAAGGCUCGAGCUCCCAGAUGCUGAAACCGCGGGAGAAAUAUACCACAUGCUCAGUGUUGCAGUUCAGUGCCUGGAGCCAAGUCCAUCACGGAGACCCACAACACGACGUGCUAGUGACGAGUUAUCUGCUAGUAAGGCAUUUGAAGAUCAUGUUCAUUAUCUGCAUGCUGGCCUCACCAUUCCCACUCACUAG